This 484-nucleotide small RNA is filed under the name Oryza sativa Japonica Group (Japanese rice). RNAcentral's name for it is "sRNA Os10g0462966". The record is from RNAcentral. Lineage: Eukaryota; Viridiplantae; Streptophyta; Magnoliopsida; Poales; Poaceae.
ACCUGAGCUAUUUCCUCUGAUGUGCUGAUCAUUCUAGCCAUGCCCUUUAGGUUAGUUACAACAGCAUCAACAGCCAUUGAAAUACCACGCCUUAAAUCCAUUGCAUUCAUGCCAGCAGCAACAGACUUGCACCCCUCAGUAAAUAUUGCUUUAGUCAAUACAGUAGCACAAGUGCCAUACCAUCUCCAGCAGUAUCAUUGGUCGCAUUAGCAACCUGCUUUACAAGGCUUGCACCAACAUUCUUGACUCUAUCCUUGAACUCAAUGCUCUUGGCAACAGUCACACCGUCCUUUGUGACUUUCGGUGAACCAUAGCUCUGCUCAAUAACCACAUUGCGUCCCUGCAUAAUAGACACGACCCAUUGUCACUUUGACUGCAUCUGCCAACUCCUCAACACCCCUCAGCAUCAAAGCACGGGCCUCAACUCCAAACUUGAUAUCCUUGGCAGCAUAGUUCCUGCUCAAGGCAAGCCUGCUUCCAACCU